UGUAAAACGAAACACACCAGAACCAGU
This 27-nucleotide non-coding RNA is filed under the name Bombyx mori (domestic silkworm). Lineage: Eukaryota; Metazoa; Arthropoda; Insecta; Lepidoptera; Bombycidae. The record is from RNAcentral.